RNAcentral lists this ribosomal RNA (497 nucleotides) under uncultured bacterium. RNAcentral's name for it is "partial 16S ribosomal RNA". It matches the Rfam family "Bacterial small subunit ribosomal RNA", at positions 28 to 507 of the family's 1533-position model. The record is from RNAcentral.
GAUGAACGCUGGCGGCGUGCCUAAUACAUGCAAGUCGAGCGAACAGACCCUGAGCUUGCUGGGCUGACGAUUGCCGCACGGGUGAGUAACACACGUGUAUCCUCCCCCUAUCUGUCGGGUAUCAUCUGGAGAAUGCGGCGAUAAUCCCAGAUAAGCUACUGAACCGUGGUGUUGGUUAGUGAGAGUCGGCUUUUGUGUCUCUUCUAGCUGCUUCUCCGCCUCAUUAGAUAGUUGGGAAGUUAAAAGCGUUCCAAGGCUACCAUGCGUAGCCGACUUGAGAGGGGGAUCGGCCACACGGGAGCUGAGACACGGUCCAGACUCCUACGGGAGGCAGCAGUCGGGAAUCUUCCGCAAUGGGCGAAAGCAUGGCGGAGCAACGCCGAGUGAGUUAUGAAGGUCUUCGGAUCGUGAAACUCUGUUAUUAGGGAAGAACAAAUGUGUAAGUAAAUAUGCACGUCUUGACGGUACCUGAUCAGAAAGCCACGGCUAACUACGUG